This is a non-coding RNA of Gossypium hirsutum (cotton), 127 nucleotides long. NCBI's taxonomy places the organism in Eukaryota, Viridiplantae, Streptophyta, Magnoliopsida, Malvales, Malvaceae. The record is from Rfam.
UGUUAAAAAUUUUAUCUAUUUGUAUAAUUAAAAACUUGCAUAGUUAAUGGAAUGAUGGUCCAAGUGUAGCUCGCGUUGAAGUAUAGAAAUUAAUUUUUAACAGUAAAAAUAAAUAAAAUUUUUAAUA